UACGUAGGGCGCAAGCGUUGUCCGGAAUUAUUGGGCGUAAAGAGCUCGUAGGCGGCUUGUCACGUCGGGUGUGAAAGCCCGGGGCUUAACCCCGGGUCUGCAUUCGAUACGGGCUAGCUAGAGUGUGGUAGGGGAGAUCGGAAUUCCUGGUGUAGCGGUGAAAUGCGCAGAUAUCAGGAGGAACACCGGUGGCGAAGGCGGCUCUCUAGUACGGUACUGACGCUGAGACGCGAAAGCGUGGGGAGCGAACAGG
This 253-nucleotide ribosomal RNA is filed under the name uncultured bacterium. Its description in RNAcentral is "partial 16S ribosomal RNA". It matches the Rfam family "Bacterial small subunit ribosomal RNA", at positions 524 to 776 of the family's 1533-position model. The record is from RNAcentral.